Molecule: ribosomal RNA, 422 nt
Filed under: Fusobacteriota bacterium
Lineage: Bacteria; Fusobacteriati; Fusobacteriota
Description: Fusobacteria bacterium partial 16S ribosomal RNA
Rfam family: Bacterial small subunit ribosomal RNA
Source: RNAcentral
UGGGGGAUUUUGCACAAUGGGCGCAAGCCUGAUGCAGCGACGCCGCGUGAGGGAUGAAGGCCUUCGGGUUGUAAACCUCUUUCGCUGGGUUGAAAGGCCAUGCUUUGGGUGUGGUUGAUUUGAACUGGUAAAGAAGUACCGGCUAACUACGUGCCAGCAGCCGCGGUAAUACGUAGGGUACUAGCGUUGUCCGGAUUUAUUGGGCGUAAAGGGCUUGUAGGUGGUUUGUCGCGUCUGUCGUGAAAUCCUGUGGCUUAACCAUGGGCUUGCAGUGGGUACGGGCAGGCUUGAGUGCGGUAGGGGAGACUGGAAUUCCUGGUGUAGCGGUGGAAUGCGCAGAUAUCAGGAGGAACACCGGUGGCGAAGGCGGGUCUCUGGGCCGUUACUGACACUGAGGAGCGAAAGCGUGGGGAGCGAACAGG